This 9845-nucleotide long non-coding RNA is filed under the name Zostera marina. RNAcentral's name for it is "long non-coding RNA (ZMAR_LNC004391)". Lineage: Eukaryota; Viridiplantae; Streptophyta; Magnoliopsida; Alismatales; Zosteraceae. The record is from RNAcentral.
GCUACUUCGCUUAGGAAUCAGUCUUUUACGGGUAGACUCACACCUUAGAGUAUCAAGGGCACUCUUAAGAACCUCUAACUUUUGCGGGUAAGUUAGUACCUUAGAGUAUCAAGGAACUCUUAAAAACCUCUCUAAGCUUUAAGGCUACUUCGCUUAGGAACCAGUCUUUUACGGGUAGAUUCACACCUUAGAGUAUCAAGGACACUCUUAAGAACCUCUAACUUUUAUGGGUAAGUUAGUACCUUAGAGUAUCAAGUAACUCUUAAAAACCUCUGAAAUCUUUAAAGGUAGACUCGACCUAAGAGUUUUCCCGGAAACUCUAUAAAACCAAACUAGAGGUUUAUGGUUGAGCUCAAAAACCUUCUCUCACACUUUGGUACUAUUGAGACAACCCUCUCAACCAAAGUGGACACACACAAGAGGUGAUUAGAGGAGUGAAAUAUUAAAGCAAACAACACUCUUACUUGUAAAGAUGAACAAGAAGAUUAGAAGAAGUUGGAGAGCUUUUGAAGAUUUGGAAAGCUAGGACACUUGAGCACUUGAAAGCUUGAAAGCUUGGAGGCAAAAACGUGUGGGCAAGUGUGGAGUGAAAGCUCUUGAGUUUUCUUGCAGUGUGGUGAGUGAAAAUGAGGGGUUUACCCUUCUAUUUAUAGCCUUGGCCACUCAAUGUCCACCCUUGGAUCUUCAAUGGAUGGCUCUUUGAUUUCUCACAUAAAUCCAAGGUUUGUCUUUGAUCUUAUCUUGAAUAGUGCUUUUAUUGGAUAGAGUUUGUUGGAGAAUCUUAUCUUUGUAUAAAUGCAAACUUAAAUAGUGUUUUGUCCCCUUGGAAUAUUAUACCUCGAAUAAAGUGUCAAAAGAUAAUAAUAAUAAUAUUCAAGGUAAAAAUGCAAUUAUUCCAAAUAAUAAUAUUCAAGGUGAAAAUGCAAUUCUCCCAAUUUGACUUUUAACUUUGACUUAAACCCUUAACUCAAAUGUUUAAUUAAUUAACUGGAGUUAGGUUUAAUAUCGAUUGACUUAUUUACCCCCUUUUGAUUAAUAGUGUAAUUAGGGUUUAAAUUGACAUGAGUUAAAAUAUAAUCCUAUAUCGACAAUUUUGAUUCUACAUUCUCCCCCUUUGUCGAUGGCAUAUAUGUUUUAACUAAUGUCUAGUCAAUAUUCUAUUUUACCCUUAUGAGCAUGCUCCCCCUGAAUUAUUGACCCAUAAUAUUCAAUUUAAAAGCCGUGGAUCAUGCAUGAUUUCUCCCCCUUAAAACAAUAAGGUAUCGACAAAGUUAAAAUAGAUACCUGUGAAGUAUCUCCCCCUUAAUGAUAGGACAUAUCUAAUUUGUGGAGAAAAUAAAACUUCAUACCUUAUUGAGCUUUGAUCACAAAUUCGAUUUGUGUGGUUGACCAAAUGUGACGUCUUGCUUAUAAGAGUGUUAGUUAAUCAUAUAGGAGAAAUAACAUGUAAUUUAUACUCAUUGAUAUAAUAUUGGAUUGAAGCCAAUUUUGAUAUACAUUGUAAGGCAAGUAUGAUAUGACAAUUUAAAUUGCCUUGUGCUAAGAUCAUGCAAUGAAUAAUAAUCCAUGUGUGUGUUAUAGAUGAAGAUGAUCUUAACAUGUAUGGAUUAAAGAUUUUAUAAUGUUAUAAUCCAUAAAAUUAGUGACAUAUAAAUAAGCAUGUAUAUUCACUAAAUUUCAAAACUUCAAAAGAAUAUUAUUUAAACAUGGGAAGUUUUGUUGAUUUUUAGUUAAUCAUGACAUGUGUAUGAUAUGAUAUAUUCACUAAAUUACUUUAAGAAAAAAGGUUUUAAAAUCCAUGUUUUAGUGACACAUAUAAUCAUGUAAAUAUUCACUAACUUUCAAAAGAUUUUUUAAAAAAUUUCAUUUCAGUCCUUAAAGUAUUAGUAAUAAAACUUUACUUAGAAAAUUUCAUUUAAGCCCUUUGAAGUUAUGAUAAAUACUUAGAUUAAUACUUGAAAUAUUUCAUUUUAAACCCUGGAAGUAUUAAAUAUUUCUAAGCAUUUUUUUGAUUUAAAACUUCAUGUAAAUAUUAAUUCUAAGUCCCUGAAGUUUUAAUUAGAUAUUUAUUCACUGUAAAGAUAUCAUUUGAACCCUUGAGUUUUAGUGAAUCUAUUAAAACUUAAAAAUUUCAUAAACGAUUUAUGUUUAAGUCCUUGAAGUUUCACAUAACUCUAUAUUCACUGAGAAAUAUAAUUUUAAUCCUUAAGUUUUAGUGAAUCAUUUUAAACUUAGAAACUUCAAACAUAAUUUAUGUUUAAGCCCUUGAAGCUUCUAGUCUAUCCAUGCAGCCCUUAAAUAUUUUAUUUAGCUGAUGAGUUUAUUUGUUUUUACAUGCAUACCCUUGUAAUGAACUCUUAUGUGUUACUUGCAAAUGAUAUUUCAUUCAACUUCAAAUAAACACAUAACAAAAGAGAGUAGCAUGCGAUACGAUCUCAAGUACCUAUGAGAUCAAGAUCCAUGGCUGGAUCUUCAAAAUACAACAUCAAAACAAACACAAACUAACAUUCAGACUAUCAAAAUACUCCUCAGGACAGAUGUAGUUCAGUCAUGGUGGUGCAUGAUUGGAAUGACCUUGGAGCUAAACUCAUGAAAUAGGUUUGCAAGCUCCAGGUUGUAUUCUCUCUCAACAUCUAGUUGUUGCCUUGUUAUAGAUACCAUCUACUCCAGAUCUCCCAUUCCUUUCUUCAGCAUCCUUACUUGAUGUCGAAUCCUUAUGAUUUCCUCAUUCAAAAACACAUUAGUGUUUUGUGAGUUUGGAUCAUAAGUGUUUCUCCAAGUCUUUUGGAAGGAGCUUGCAGUGAAUGGUUGAAUGUGAGCUAUGAUUGGAUGUGGGUAGAGUGGAAUUCCAAAGAACCCUGGACUAAAGAGUCUUGAGAGCAUCCUUGGGUAGUAGCGAGCUCCAGUGUUCUUGGUUGAUGUAGCCAGAUUGUGCAUGAUCAGUGAUACCCAGUUCACUCUGAUCUUUGACAGCAAGCAGUAGAUUGCUACUAAGAUCAAUGUCGAUGGUUCUUCUCUAUUAUCAGCUUGAGGGUAUACAUUGUAAGUGAUGAUCUUCAAAAAGAUUGAGGCUUCUGGUAUGAGCAUUGUAUUUAGAAUCUUAUCAGUGCUCUUAGGAUUAUACCUGUGGGUGAGAAUAUUCCAGAGAGUCUCCCAGCUGCACUUAAAAGGUAGCUCAUCCAGGCUUUUGUAGUUUUGAAGCUUCACUCCAUUGUUGGGUAGGUUUAUCCAUAUUCCGAGUUGAUCAGCUCUUAGAAUGAGACAUAUUCCAUUUACCUUGGUGGUGAUCACUUGAGUACCUACUGUCGCAUACUUGAGAUUUGCAUAAAACUGAGCAACUCGGAUUUGUAGAUCCUGAGCUGCCCUAUGUUUUCAAGAUAGUCCGUGAGUCUGUUGAAGUUUAGCAGCCCUUCAAUCACCUUGCAGUUGAGAGAUUUGAGCAGAACUGGUUCCUCAAAGAUCAUUCUUUGCUCGAGAAUGAGAUUAUAGGAAAACUUGGCUAUUGGAGAGAUCCAUGUUGGUGUUCCUUGGAACAUCUCUGACACUGGAAUCCUUCUGGUGCGUUUCUUCCGGAUAGGAUUGCUGCUUGAAGGAUUGGGGUUGUAUACCGGACUGGAAGGACAGUCAGGUAUGAUCGUUAGCUCCUUCUUCUCAGGAUUGAUUUCUUGGAUCAACAUCCUUGGGAUAGUUUAGGAGGAAAAGAAGGAAGAAGAUGAUAUGAGAGUUUGUUCUUCCUAUGUUGAAAUAGUAUUUUGAACUCCUCCUUUUUAGGUUUAAAGAUAUGUUCAGAUUUUCAAUUAGCUGACAUUGCUUGUAAAGCUUUUACAAGUGAUGAUCAGAUUAACUUUAGGUCAUGUCUAACUUGAACAGUUAGCAACUUUUAGGGUUUGUUUUUCAAUGAAUCAAACAACCCUACUUGGUGAAUUUGGACAGAUUUGUCUUAAUUCAACUCUUGUCAUUUCAGAUAUUUACACGAUCUGAACUGAUUUUCUACAUAUAUAAUUUAUUUAAACAUACCUUUUGUAGUGAUCGACGCACUCCUUGCUUCAUCCACGAUAAUUCAUGCUUCAUUUUUCUACUUUUGCAGGCAGCGAUUGAUGUACUCGUGCAGUGUAGUAGCAGGAUUUCCUUUUUCCAGAUCUUCUUGCAGGAUUCUUGCACUGUGCAAGCCACACACCGGGUAUGGUGUCGAGAAUGACUGAUUGACUUGGCUAUGAUCUGCGAAGUUUGGUGGCUGGAUUUGUAAUGCCGACAAGAAUUUUCAUUUCUCCAAUGUCGAGAUUUCUUGCUUGGUUUUUUUCAAGAUAAAAAGAGUUUGGUUUACCAAGAUCUGACAAUUAGCAUGUUUGCACAUUCCACCUGUACUUAUAAUAGAUAUAUAGAUUUGGAUAUUUCAUGUGAAUUUGAAUUUCAUUGUUAAUUUCGUAGUGACAUGGCAUGUUAGUCAACUAGCAUAAAUCAAGGAAUGCAUGUAUUAGUUAAUUAUCUUGUAUUUAGUAAGUAAUUCUAAACAUGCAAAUGAUUAGUGAUAUUUUAUCAUACAUGUAUAAAUUUUGUUUUAUAAUACAAGUAACAUGGCAUGAGUUACCGAUCGUUUGAAGAUUACAUGCAAAGAUUGUAUUACACACAUUUUAUAAUCAGGUGUUAAUCUUGCAUGCAUAAUCGUGGCAUGUAAUGAGUUGUUUUGAAGUUUUCAUACAUCUCAUAUGUAGAUAGACUCAUUUUACUUUGCAUACUAUAUAUGUAUUUAUCAAAUAAUUCUAAGCAUGCAGAAGAUUUGUAAUACGUAAAACAGGCAUGCAUGGGAUUAGUUUUACAAAUAAGUUGACGACUGUAUGCAUGAAUCGAGCAUGUAAAGCAUGCAUUUAUCAGAUAGUUGUUUUAGAUCAUGGAUCUUUUAGUAGCAUGGAAUGCAUUAACGUGUUUGUCAUAUAUGAUAGACAUGCAUUUAGCUAUGUGUGUGCAGAACUUAGUAUAUGAAUGAACAUAGUAAAAAGUACGUAUGUAAAUAUUUGAUAGAUUAUAUUAAGUUCAUAUAUAUAUAUGCACAUAGAUCUACUUAGGCUUUAUUUGAGAUACAAAGCAAUCUAGGACAUAGUUGCCUUGUAUAGAUGAUCUUGUCUGUAUGCCAGUGUGUUGAUCUCCAAUGAUUUGUUCUGCGGAGUGUGAGUUUCUGAGAUUCCUAUUUGAUGGAAGUUCAGAGAAGAUUGUCUCUUGAUCAUCUUUUUCUAUAGGAGUGGCAGAUGGUAUUUGUUGAGUGACUUCAAUUCCUCCUUCUUCUGUGUUUGGAACAGAGAUGGACUCAUCAAAGUCAACGUGUAGGGAUUCUAUCAAUAUUUGUCUUUCUUUGAGAAGGACUCUAUAGGCCUUGCUCCUUUUUGAGUAUCCAACCAAGAUUCCUUCAUCAGAUUUUUGUGCUAAUUUAUCUUGGUUUCCCCUUGUUCUGAGAACAUAGCACUUACUCCCAAAUACUUUAAAGAAUGAAACUUUGGGUUUUCUGUUAUUCCAAAGUUCAUAAGGAGUUUUGUUUAAGGUUUUUCUAAUGAUUACCUUAUUGAGAGUGUAACAAGCAGUGCUUAUAGCUUCUGCCCAUAGAUAUUGAGGGGAGUCAUGUUCUUGUAACAUAGACUUACUCAUUUCUUGAAGAGUAUGAUUUUUUCUUUCUACUAUUCCAUUUUGAGGUGGAGCUUGAGGAAAAGCAAAUUCAUGCUUUAUCCCAUUGGAUAUACAGUACUCUUCAAAGUCAGAGUUUUCAAAUUCUCCUCCAUGAUCACUUCUGAUUUUUAUGAUAGAUGAACCUUUUUCAUUCUGUAAUACUAGGGUACAAAAUUUAGAGAAUUCACCAAAGGUUUCACUUUUGUUUCUUAGAAAGAACACCCAUGUAUAGCGAGAAUAAUCAUCAAUGAUUACAUAGGUGAACCUUUUUCCUCCAAGACUUUGGGUUUGGGUUGGCCCAAAUAAGUCCAUGUGAAAAAGCUCUAAGGGUCUAGAGGUGGUUAUUUCUGUGAGGGAUUUAAACGAGCUUCUGUGUUGCUUUCCUUUUUGACAAGCAUCACAGAUAUUACUUUUCUCAUAAGCUAUUUUAGGCAACCCAGUUACUAAUUCUUCUUUAGAUAAUUUAGAUAGUUUUGAGUAGCUGGUGUGACCUAAUCGUCUAUGCCAUAGAACUUUCUCAUCACUUGCAGCAAGCAUGCAGAAGUCAUGAGUUGGUUUAGACUUAUCAAAGUUUAUAGAAUAAGCAUUGCUUUUUCUAUAUCCUCUGGCAAUGAUAACUCCCUCAGAGUUAGUGAUAGAACAAUUAUAUUUUUCAAAUUUUACUACACAACCGAUAUAACAUAAUUGACUUAUGCUAAUCAGGUUGUGUUUUAGACCAUUUACUAAGUAUACAUUUCUUAAGAAUGGUUUUUCUGUAUUUCCUACAUUACCCCUACCUACUAUUGUACCUUCGUUGUUAUCGGCGAACUUGACCUUUUUAGUAGUAGGUAAGUCUAUCAAGUCUGUUAGUAGACUUGAUUCCCCAGUCAUGUGUCUUGUGCAUCCACUGUCGAACAUCCAUUUUAACACAUGCUUUUCCUGAAAAAGUUGAAAAAUCCUUUGGUACCCAUACUGAGUUGGAUCCGUAUGAAUUAACAUACUUAAUCUGCUUAUAACUUCUUAACUCAUCUUUGUUUUGGAUGAUUCAUCUUAGAAUGAUUUUUCUUUUUCUUAAGAUGAAUGGAUUUUGUAUAGCUAGAAUAAUCAUUAUACAUUGAAGCAUGCAAAGGUUUUGUAGAACUAGAUUCCCUUACAAAAUGAUCAUUAUAAGUUAUGGCAUUUAAGGUUUUGUUAAUAGGUGCAUCUGACUCAAACCCUAAGCCAAAUUUCUUUUGACCCAAGUUUGAACCUUGCAACAUGUUAUUUAACUUGGAUGAACUAUUUAAGAAUUUUUGAAGAAGAUUAUUUUUCUCAUUUAUUCUUUCAGUUUGUAAUUGCAUGCUGUUAUGUUUUUCAGAUAAUUUUUGUAAAGUUUCUUCAUGCUCAAGUAUGAGUUUAUCCUUAGAUUCUAUUUCAGUUUUAAGCAUGAUUGUUUCUUUUUCUUUAUUUCUAACACUUUCCUCAAAAUUAUCUAUUUUUAAUUCUAACAAAUCAACCCUAUCAUCAUUUAUUUCAUUAGGUUGAUUUUCUUCAGAUUCUAGAAUAUCGAGUAAUUCAAAAUUUUGACUCUUAAGUGUUUUAAUUUUUUCAUCUCCAUUUUUUAUUUUACUUGAGAGUUUAUGGUUUUCUUCUUUUAAUAACAUUCUUUUAAUUCUUCUAAUUCUAUUGAAUGAUCAAUAUGUGAUUUAUUCAUGCAUUCUAGUCUUAAUGAUUUACUUAAUUUUUUUUCAGCUUUAUAUUUAUUCAUUAAUUCUAGAUAUGCUUCUUCUAAUGAAUUAAAUCUAGUAUUUGUAAAAUUUACCUCAGAGUCGUUCUCAUGAGCCAUGAGACAGUCUUCUUGAUCUGACUCAGAAUCUGACCAGUGUACUUGAUGUGCUUUUUCUUUCUUUAGCAGAGGACAUUCAGGUCUGUUGUGUCCAGAUUUUUUGCACAAAUAGCAGAUAGGCUCCUUUGAGUCUUUGUGGUUUUUACUCACUUUUCUGUCGGAAUUCUGAUAGUCUAACCUUGAAUUUCUCUUUUCUUUCCUUUUUAUGAGUCUCUUUAAAUGAUUUGUGAUCAUUGCCAAGUCAUCAUCAGAUGCUUCAUUAUCGGAUUGACUUUUGAGAGCAAUGUCCUUUUUCUCUUCUUUUGCUCUAGAGAUAAAUCUUUCUUCUUCAUAGGCCAUCAGAUUUCCGCAAAGUUCUACCACUGUGAGUUUAUUCAGAUCAUGAGAUUCUUGGAUAGCAUUCCUCUUUGAGUAGUAUUUGUUUGGAAAGCUCCCUAGAAUCUUGCUCACUUUCUUUUUCUCAGCUACUGGAUCUCCUAGUCCAGCCAGAUCGUUGACUAUUUGUGAUAGUCGAAUAUUCAUUUCCGCGAUAGUCUCAUCUUCCCUCAUAGAGAAUCUUUCGAAUUGAGAAGUGACAUGUAAUAGCUUGUUUUCCUUGACGUGGGAGGUUCCUUCAUGUAGGUCCUCCAAAGCUUUCCAUACCUUGUGAGCUGUAUCCAAGCAUCGAAUUCUGCUAUAUUCAGAUUCAUUGAGGCGCCAUAUAGUGCAUUCAAUGCUCUUGAGUUGUUGUUUUCCUUGAGAAUAUCCAUUGCUCCCCAAGUCUCUUCUUUGCUUGUUGGAAUCUCAUAAUCUUCCAAUAUGAUUUUUCAGACUCCAUUGUUGAUUGACUUUAAGAAUAACUUCGUCUUGUUCUUCCAGAAGUCAUACUUUACUCCAUCGAACCUGGGAGGUUUGUUCGAUGCAAGACCAGUACUGUUUUCACCAUUUGAAGCCAUAGUUGUUGUUGUAAGAUGUUAGUCUGACUUCAACGGAACUUGGCUCUGAUACCACUUGUUGGAUCGAGAUCCGAGGCUAUAAGGGGGGAUAAUAGCCUCUUUUCGAUUUAUACAGGUUGAUUGCGGAAUUACCUGUAAACGCUUAAUAAACAAAUGGUUGAACAAUAAUGAUAUAAAGAUAUUAUAACUUUGAUUGAUAUAAUAACGUAAUUAUUACUCUUCGAAGCUUACCACAGUAUAUGAAUACUGAGUCAACUUGCUUGAUAGUGUUUUACACAUAACUAUAGUAUAUGAAUACUAAGUUAUAUUGUAAACACAAAUUGUAUUGUAGAGUAAAUGACCAGAUAACUGGAUAUAUUGAUAAGCAAGUAAAUGACCAGAUAACUGGAUAUAUUGAUAAGCAAGUAAAUGACCAGAUAACUGGAUAUAUAUGAUAAGUAAUACUUGAACAAAUAUAAGGAUUUAAAGCAACGAAUAUAACCUCAGAUAGUUGACCAGAUAACUGGAUGAGGGAUCUGCGUAAAGUAGUCAACCUCUGUGUUUGACCAGAUAACUAGAAGAAAGAUCCUUUUUAAUUAAGUGUUGUUUUUAGAUAAAAGAUAAAACUAUAAUUAACAGAGAACAAUACAAGAGAUUUAUACUGGUUCACCCAAAUAAGGGCUAGUCCAGUCCCGACCAACUGCCGGAAUUCACUCGCCUAAAGGUUAUGGCAAAACCUUAGAGUAUCAAGGAAACUCUUAAGAACCUCUCUAUGCUUUAAGGCUACUUCGCUUAGGAACCAGUUUUUUACGGGUAGACUCACACCUUAGAGUAUCAAGGGCACUCUUAAGAACCUCUAACUUUUGCGGGUAAGUUAGUACCUUAGAGUAUCAAGCAACUCUUAAAAACCUCUCUAAGCUUUAAGGCUACUUCGCUUAGGAACCAGUCUUUUACGGGUAGACUCACACCUUAGAGUAUCAAGGACACUCUUAAGAAGCUCUAACUUUUACGGGUAAGUUAGUACCUUAAAGUAUCAAGGAACUCUUAAAAACCUCUGAAAUCUUUCAAGGUAGACUCGACCUAAGAGUUUUCCCGGAAACUCUAUAAAACCAAACUAGAGCUUUAUGGUUGAGCUCAAAAACCUUCUCUCACACUUUGGUACUAUUGAGACAACCCUCUCAACCAAAGUGGACACACACAAGAGGUGAUUAGAGGAGUGGAAUAUUAAAGCAAACAACACUUCUUACUUGUAAAGAUGAACAAGAAGAUUAGAAGAAGAAGUUGGAGAGCUUUUGAAGCUUUGGAAAGCUAGGACACUUGAGCUCUUUGAAAGCUAGGAAGCUUGGAGGCAAAAACAUGUGGGCAAGUGUGGAGUGAAAGCUCUUGAGUUUGCUUGUAGUGUGGUGAGUGAAAAUGAGGGGAUUACCCUUCUAUUUAUAGCCUUGGCCACUCAAUGUCCACCCUUGGAUCUU